This 508-nucleotide long non-coding RNA is filed under the name Pan troglodytes (chimpanzee). RNAcentral's name for it is "long non-coding RNA NONPTRT005921". Lineage: Eukaryota; Metazoa; Chordata; Mammalia; Primates; Hominidae. The record is from RNAcentral.
AAUUACUUUUGCACCAACCUAAUACUUACCUUCUUUUGUAGAUGAGCAUCUCAGCAUUUCAGAGGCGAAGAAACUGGCCUAGCCACCACGUGGUGGCACUUGCAGCCUGAGUCAGCAGAUCCCCAGGCAAAUGAAGACUCUGAGAUGAAGACAGCUGAGCGCACGAUGGGGUAGGUCAGCCUCCCUCAUGGAAAUUCUGUGUGCCUGAGGCCCACCCUUCCAGUGCAGAUGGAGGGAUGGGAUGGAAAUGAAUCUAGGGGAACGCAUCCCAGCUGUGAUCCAGCCACCUCUGCGUUUGAAGGCUGGGGGUUAUUCCCUCCUCAUGGUUGCCAUGCAUUCCUAUGUUUGCAUGUCAUGCUUGGAACUGCCGCAGCCACUUUGUGACAGCCUGAGAAUGAAUCCAGCGCUAAAAUCAGUCUAGCAAAAGGAGGAGAAACACCUGGGUCUCCAUGAUGUCACUGAGCAAGUGAAUUGACCAGCUGUGAGGACUGGUGUCCUUAUAAUGAAA